UACGUAGGGUGCAAGCGUUGUCCGGAAUUAUUGGGCGUAAAGAGCUCGUAGGCGGUUUGUCGCGUCUUCUGUGAAAACCCGAGGCUCAACCUCGGGCCUGCAGUGGGUACGGGCAGACUAGAGUGCGGUAGGGGAGAUUGGAAUUCCUGGUGUAGCGGUGGAAUGCGCAGAUAUCAGGAGGAACACCAAUGGCGAAGGCAGAUCUCUGGGCCGUAACUGACGCUGAGGAGCGAAAGCAUGGGGAGCGAACAGG
This 253-nucleotide ribosomal RNA is filed under the name uncultured bacterium. RNAcentral describes it as "partial 16S ribosomal RNA". It matches the Rfam family "Bacterial small subunit ribosomal RNA", at positions 524 to 776 of the family's 1533-position model. The record is from RNAcentral.